GGCGAACGCUGGCGGCGUGCUUAACACAUGCAAGUCGAGCGGUAAGGCCUUUCGGGGUACCCGAGCGGCGAACGGGUGAGUAACACGUGGGUGAUCUGCCCUGCACUUCGGGAUAAGCCUGGGAAACUGGGUCUAAUACCGGAUAUGACCUCCUAUCGCAUGGUGGGUGGUGGAAAGAUUUAUCGGUGCAGGAUGGGCCCGCGGCCUAUCAGCUUGUUGGUGGGGUAAUGGCCUACCAAGGCGACGACGGGUAGCCGACCUGAGAGGGUGACCGGCCACACUGGGACUGAGACACGGCCCAGACUCCUACGGGAGGCAGCAGUGGGGAAUAUUGCACAAUGGGCGAAAGCCUGAUGCAGCGACGCCGCGUGAGGGAUGACGGCCUUCGGGUUGUAAACCUCUUUCAGCAGGGACGAAGCGCAAGUGACGGUACCUGCAGAAGAAGCACCGGCUAACUACGUG
RNAcentral lists this ribosomal RNA (462 nucleotides) under uncultured bacterium. RNAcentral describes it as "partial 16S ribosomal RNA". It matches the Rfam family "Bacterial small subunit ribosomal RNA", at positions 28 to 507 of the family's 1533-position model. The record is from RNAcentral.